RNAcentral lists this long non-coding RNA (569 nucleotides) under Gopherus agassizii (Agassiz's desert tortoise). RNAcentral describes it as "lncRNA (ENSGAGG00000006939.1)". Lineage: Eukaryota; Metazoa; Chordata; Testudines; Testudinidae. The record is from RNAcentral.
UAGUGACGUUACUGCCACCCCCAGUUAAAUACACUGGCCUCUAUCUCAGACUCACCUGUUCUGGGAAGGUUCCUUUUGACUCUCAUCCACUCAAAAGUUUUCGUGUCACCGUAAACAUCCUGAGAGAGGUCCCCUCUAUCUUCUGGCACCACCAGAGAGUUACAGCUGGGGGGGUCCUGGCUACAGGCGUGGUACCGAUCCACUCCCCGACCCCCGGAGCGGGGUCCAAUAAGGCAAGCUGGGUAGGCGGAGGAGGAGGGGGGCAGGCCCCCCCCAGGAAAGUCGGGGUCAGGAGAGCUGCGGAGUCUCUCUCUGGGCAAACACACAAGAGGGAUGAUAGGAAACAGUUUCUACAGCAGAUCUCUCUCUGGGCUGCGAGAAAUGGACAUGACUUCAUCCCUCCCCCCAGCCCACCCCACCAGACCCUCCUGGAAUAUCUGCUGGGAUGCUCAAGAAAGAAUGCAAAGGAAGAAAGAUCCAGCUCUAACGAUCCAGCACGUUGCAAUGAAAAACCUGUUCUCUUGCGUUUAGGAAGAAAAGUCUUGGGCUGGGAAGUUAUGAAGAUAAAG